GGAAUCGUUUAAGUAUGUCUAGCAUUUUCUGCUUACUUCCAUCAUUUGGUUGCAAAUGCUGUAGUUCCUCCAUGACAUUCUCUCUCAUAAAGGAUUCGGUGCAACGAAGACUAUGAGACUUGUAACAAGGCAGAGAGCAAUAACGGGUAUUACAUCGAGGGCAGGUAUACUGCGAAAAUUGCUUUUGACAAACCCGACAUAUUAUACGAGACGACGAGUUCAGCUCAGACGAACUUGAAACUCCCUCCGAUGUUAUAAUUUCGUCGGCCAUGGCAAAAAGUAAAGCAAUUAAUUAAGAGAAAAAGAU
RNAcentral lists this unclassified non-coding RNA (307 nucleotides) under Hevea brasiliensis (rubber tree). Lineage: Eukaryota; Viridiplantae; Streptophyta; Magnoliopsida; Malpighiales; Euphorbiaceae. The record is from RNAcentral.